ACGUAGGUCCCGAGCGUUGUCCGGAUUUAUUGGGCGUAAAGGGAGCGCAGGCGGUCAGGAAAGUCUGGAGUAAAAGGCUAUGGCUCAACCAUAGUGUGCUCUGGAAACUGUCUGACUUGAGUGCAGAAGGGGAGAGUGGAAUUCCAUGUGUAGCGGUGAAAUGCGUAGAUAUAUGGAGGAACACCAGUGGCGAAAGCGGCUCUCUGGUCUGUCACUGACGCUGAGGCUCGAAAGCGUGGGUAGCGAACAG
RNAcentral lists this ribosomal RNA (250 nucleotides) under uncultured bacterium. Its description in RNAcentral is "partial 16S ribosomal RNA". It matches the Rfam family "Bacterial small subunit ribosomal RNA", at positions 525 to 775 of the family's 1533-position model. The record is from RNAcentral. RNAcentral also lists the same sequence under 1 other name.